AACGAACGCUGGCGGCAUGCCUAACACAUGCAAGUCGAACGAGACCUUCGGGUCUAGUGGCGCACGGGUGCGUAACGCGUGGGAACCUGCCCUUAGGUUCGGAAUAACUCCCCGAAAGGGGUGCUAAUACCGGAUAAUGUCUUCGGACCAAAGAUUUAUCGCCUUUGGAUGGGCCCGCGUUGGAUUAGCUAGUUGGUAGGGUAAAAGCCUACCAAGGCGACGAUCCAUAGCUGGUCUGAGAGGAUGAUCAGCCACACUGGGACUGAGACACGGCCCAGACUCUUACGGGAGGCAGCAGUGGGGAAUAUUGGCAAACGGGCGAAAGCAUGAUCCAGCAAUGCCGCGUGAGUGAUGAAGGACUUAGGGUUGUAAAGCUCUUUUACACGGGAUGAUAAUGACAGUACCGGGAGAAUAAGCUCCGGCUAACUACGUG
Molecule: ribosomal RNA, 433 nt
Filed under: uncultured bacterium
Lineage: Bacteria
Description: partial 16S ribosomal RNA
Rfam family: Bacterial small subunit ribosomal RNA
Source: RNAcentral